Molecule: transfer RNA, 71 nt
Filed under: Haplopteris elongata
Lineage: Eukaryota; Viridiplantae; Streptophyta; Polypodiopsida; Polypodiales; Pteridaceae
Description: tRNA-Gly
Rfam family: tRNA
About the family: Transfer RNA (tRNA) molecules are approximately 80 nucleotides in length.
Source: RNAcentral
GCGGAUAUAGUUGAGUGGUAAAAUGUCUCCUUGCCAAGGAGAUGAUACGGGUUCGAUUCCCGUUAUCCGCC